This 513-nucleotide ribosomal RNA is filed under the name uncultured bacterium. Its description in RNAcentral is "bacterial SSU rRNA". It matches the Rfam family "Bacterial small subunit ribosomal RNA", at positions 9 to 517 of the family's 1533-position model. The record is from RNAcentral.
GAGUUUGAUCGUGGCUCAGAUUGAACGCUGGCGGCAGGCCUAACACAUGCAAGUCGAGCGGUAGAGAGAAGCUUGCUUCUCUUGAGAGCGGCGGACGGGUGAGUAAUGCCUAGGAAUCUGCCUGGUAGUGGGGGAUAACGCUCGGAAACGGACGCUAAUACCGCAUACGUCCUACGGGAGAAAGCAGGGGACCUUCGGGCCUUGCGCUAUCAGAUGAGCCUAGGUCGGAUUAGCUAGUUGGUGAGGUAAUGGCUCACCAAGGCGACGAUCCGUAACUGGUCUGAGAGGAUGACCAGUCACACUGGAACUGAGACACGGUCCAGACUCCUACGGGAGGCAGCAGUGGGGAAUAUUGGACAAUGGGCGAAAGCCUGAUCCAGCCAUGCCGCGUGUGUGAAGAAGGUCUUCGGAUUGUAAAGCACUUUAAGUUGGGAGGAAGGGCAGUAAAUUAAUACUUUGCUGUUUUGACGUUACCGACAGAAUAAGCACCGGCUAACUCUGUGCCAGCAGCCG